GGCCUCCGUAGUUUCCUUUAGUCUGGCAGCUUGCGACGCUGAGGAAGCAGAGCGGUGCAAGGAGUCACAGAGAAGGAGUUUAUGUGAUUGUUACUUCAUUUUCAGAAUAAAACCUCCUGUAAAGAAGUCCAUUGUGUGAUCCCUGUCGACAAACGCGUCACAAGACCCGUUACACAAACAGGAGCCGGCAUUGCUGCCGGCUGCUUGCUGCGAGGCCGGCGAGCGUGCCUACGAGAGCCCACAGGGGAUCCACGUCAUCCACGUUGGGCGCCAAACGUGAGAGUCUUCCCCUGUCGUCCGGGUUCCAUGGACCACCAAGAACAGACAUGACGUCGAGCAGUUUGACUUUGUUUAUUUUUCAACAAUACUCAGUCUUGUCGGGUCGCGUUUCGGGCUGUGUUCAAGGUGAACUUUCAGUCAAACUCUCAAUAUUCCAUUGGUUCUCAUUUUAAUGACCUAUCACUGGGAGCACAAGGCCUUUUAUUAAUGGGAAGGAAAUUAACACGUUGCACUUAAAUACCUAUAUUUUUCUCACUGAAUGUCAAGAUGUGUCUCAUUAAAACGUAACGCCAUACAGUACCUCAAACUUUUUGAGGUUAUUAUUAUAAAGAAAAUAUUUAACUUUUUUUGGUUUUCCACUGAGCUUUGAGGAACUCUUUGACUGGAGAGAAACAUGCUCGAAAGAGUAUUGCACCAAAGUUCAAAUUUAAUUGAUUAUUAAGAGACUUUUUUCUGACCCAAAUGAGUUUCCAAGGGAACUUCAGGUAUGAACAGAUGACCCUGGCCAGGUAAGAAAGACUGGAUAUUGGAGUUUUUUUUUUAACAAGGCUGUUACUUAGCCAUAAAUCAUGACAUGUAAACGUCCUGUACCCUCUAUUCAGUGACCUGAAAAAGUGCAAGAGAAAAAAAUGAACUGUAUUCUUUGAGAACUUCCCUGUUAAAUCCGGUGGGGAUUAAUUGGAUUUUAUCCUGCUGGGUUUACAAUGUACUGUCUUUGCGCUUCAGCUCUAUGAUGUAAUUAUCUUUUCCUUUUUUAUAUGAAAAAAA
This is a long non-coding RNA of Entelurus aequoreus (snake pipefish), 1047 nucleotides long. RefSeq lists it as uncharacterized. NCBI's taxonomy places the organism in Eukaryota, Metazoa, Chordata, Actinopteri, Syngnathiformes, Syngnathidae. The record is from RefSeq and is a predicted model, not a curated record. The transcript has 4 exons.